AGAGACAUAGUUAUCAUUUUUUUGCUCUAAAAAAACAAUUUUCCCAAGAUUAUAAGGGUUGACAUUUGUUUCUUGUUUUUUUUUUUUUGAACGACUUGUUUUUUAUUUCUAUAUAUGUUUAUUCGUACGUUAUCAAGCCCAUAUUUAGUUUUUCUGCCCAUUUUCUUCCAUGUAACACAAUUAUCUAAUCAUUUUAUGUGUGCCAUGUGACAUUAUGAUUGGUAUUUCUUAUACUCUCACAAAAUAUAUUUUUGCAAAAAGGGUUAUCAAGAAAUUCACGAUAUUCUCCAGAAUAUCUAAAUAGCUAUAUCAUGUACAAUAAGUAUUGAUUUCCAUUUUGGCCAUUAUUUUGACUAGGAUAGUCAUUUGUAUGUAUUUUUGUAUAAAACGUAAUUUAUAUUCAUACCGAAAAAAUGUUAUUUAUAUGUAAGCUAAAACUUGAAACAUAUUCCCGUUCGAUAAUAUUGUGACGUUUUGGGAGUGUCGGUGAUCCGGCUCAUAUAUACUAUAUAUAGUAAGGUUAUUAGCUAACGACAAAUAUAAAUAAUUCGAACUACCCACUAUAUAUUUUGUAGAUACCUGGAAUGGCGUCUCGGC
This 597-nucleotide long non-coding RNA is filed under the name Brassica rapa (field mustard). RNAcentral's name for it is "long non-coding RNA (BRAP_LNC007461)". Lineage: Eukaryota; Viridiplantae; Streptophyta; Magnoliopsida; Brassicales; Brassicaceae. The record is from RNAcentral.